Psammomys obesus (fat sand rat) is the source of this 107-nucleotide small nuclear RNA. The record is from RefSeq and is a predicted model, not a curated record. Lineage: Eukaryota; Metazoa; Chordata; Mammalia; Rodentia; Muridae.
GUGCUCACUUCAACAGUACAUGUACUAAGACUGGAAUGAUACGGAGAAGGUUAGCACGGUCCCCGUAAAAGGAUGACACAAAUGUGUGAAGGGCUCUGUAAGAAAAA